AUACGGAGGGUGCAAGCGUUAAUCGGAAUUACUGGGCGUAAAGCGCGCGUAGGCGGAUAUUUAAGUCUCAUGUGAAAGCCCUGGGCUCAACCUGGGAACUGCAUGGGAUACUGGGUAUCUAGAAUACAGUAGAGGGUAGUGGAAUUUCAGGUGUAGCGGUGAAAUGCGUAGAGAUCUGAAGGAACAUCAGUGGCGAAGGCGACUACCUGGACUGAUGUUGACGCUGAGGUGCGAAAGCGUGGGGAGCAAACGGGAUUAGAAACCCCAGUAGUCC
RNAcentral lists this ribosomal RNA (274 nucleotides) under uncultured bacterium. RNAcentral describes it as "partial 16S ribosomal RNA". It matches the Rfam family "Bacterial small subunit ribosomal RNA", at positions 523 to 796 of the family's 1533-position model. The record is from RNAcentral.